Molecule: long non-coding RNA, 1639 nt
Filed under: Homo sapiens (human)
Lineage: Eukaryota; Metazoa; Chordata; Mammalia; Primates; Hominidae
Description: HSALNT0252685
Source: RNAcentral
ACUUCUGGCUGGGUGUACCGACUGCAUUUUCCUGAUAACUUAAGCUGCUGGCUGGUGAGACAAUCAAAUUCUCCCCACUGAGUGACUUCAUCUACAAGACACAGGAGUAACCACCAGCGAGAGAAGUUCAGUUGUGAAAGGGAAGCAAAGGAAGAUGCUGGGUCCUUAGCGAGGGUGCACAGCCCCUUCCUCCAUUGUUAGCUCUCCAUUCCGUUUUGCCUGAUGCAAGGCACACUUUGUUCCAUAUAUUUAGAUUCCAUAGUUUUCUGAUAAUGGGGACUGAGUAUUUUAAAUACACUUCAGGGGUGGGCGGGGUGGCUCAUGCGUGUAAUCCCGGCACUUUGGGAGGCCAAGGUGGGCGAUUACCUGAGGUCAGGAGUUCGAGACCAGCUUGGCCAACAUGGUGAAACUCUGUCUCUACUAAAAAUACAAAAAUUGGCUGGAUGUGGUGGCUCACACCUGUAGUCCCACCUCCUCGGGAGGCUGAGGCAGGAGAAUUGCUUGAACCCAGGAGGCGGAGGCUGCAGUGAGCCGAGAUCGUGCCACUGCACUCCAGCCAGGGUGACAGAGUGAGACACUGUCUCAAUAAAUACAUAUUUAAAAAUUAAUAAAAAUAAAAAUGAACACACUUUUUAGGUGACUUCUGCAUAUUUAAGUUUCAAACUACUUUUAGAGCAAGCCCAGGAGAGUUUCCUGUUCUUUUGAACAUGAAGAAAGAACCAAGGGCUACAGAAAGCCUCCUUACAGAACCCGAGUCUCAUUAGCUUGUUCUCAUUCAACAAACGCUUAUCCAUCCCUCGUUGCAUGCAAGGCGCUCUGCCCAGCCAAGUAUGUGACUGCAGGCUGACGGGUGGUGAUCGGGAAAGCUGCCCGAAUGAGUAAGAUUCUGACGCUUGUUUGGAGUAGUUUAUCCUCUGUCUACCACCUCCAGAUCACCACAUCUCCAUGACUGGACCCAAAUGAAGUUAUUUCAUAUUUCCAAAAAUAGUUUCAGUUAUUAACACCUUCAGGAGAAUUCAGGGGCUCAUGGUAGAAAUGAAUGAAUCAUGUACAUAACUGAGAAGUAUUUAUACAGAAAGAGUUUUGGUUUUCUGGAAAGGGUAAUUUCAGAUAUUUAGAAGUAAGAGCCAUUACAAUGUUGGUUUUACAAGCCACUGGGCUUUAUAGCAACAUCAGAGUCCUGGUGGGUCAGGAGAAAAGGAGACAGCACUCGUCAGUAGCAGACAAGAGCAACUUAGCAUUCCAUAUAAUCUUGGAGAGAGCUGGUCUAAGUGCCUCAGAUCUAUAGCCAGUUGCCUUGGAAUCUCUGCUGAGUACUUCAUCAAGCACCUGCUGUUUGAAGAGGGAAUAAGCCAGAAUAAAAUUCUCGCUCUUCAGACUUUGCAUUAGGACAGACCAACUGAUUCCACUUGACCUGUGACUCAUACCAAGGAACUUGCUCAACCAGUCCUGUUGACCCCUCACCCAGAAACUGACUCAGUGCAUGAAGACAGUUUCAAUACUCCUAUGAUUUUUAUCCCCAACCAAUCAGCAGCACCUAUUCCCUAGCCCCCUGCCCUCCAAAUUUUCUUUAAAAACCCUAGCUUCGGAACUCUUGGAGAGGCAGGUUUGAGAAACAUCUCCUGUCCUUCCAUUUGGC